This is a long non-coding RNA of Prunus avium (sweet cherry), 734 nucleotides long. RefSeq lists it as uncharacterized. Lineage: Eukaryota; Viridiplantae; Streptophyta; Magnoliopsida; Rosales; Rosaceae. The record is from RefSeq and is a predicted model, not a curated record.
AAUCAAUUAAUACUUAGCCAUUAAGCUCUCUCUCUCUCUCUCUCUCUCUCUCUCUCUCUCAAAGUAUGAACCUAUAAAUAAACAAGAGCUACAUCAAUCUCAUUAGAUACUACCAAGCAAGCUACAUUGCAUUUUCAGCGAGAGAAAAAGGAAGCGAUAUCACCAGAGUGCUUUGCUUGAUUAAGAGACAAACAGAAGAGGAGAGAGAGAGAUGCCGCCACCUGGACCGGGAGGAGGCCCACCGGGCUUUGGUUGCUUAGGCGGUAUAUGCCGCCUUAUAUCAUCUUGUGCUUAUUUCCUGUGCUGCUGCUGCCUGUUGGAGAGCUGCUGUGGACCCAUGUUUGGUGGGGGAUUUGGUGGACCUGGUGGGCCCGGUGGUGGACCUGGUGGACCCGGUGGUGGACCUGGCGGGCCCCCUCGCUUUUGAAUAUGAGCUGGCUGCUGCUGCCUGUGAUCUUCUUCUGCAUAAUGUUGAAUUUCAAGUUCAAUAUAUAUAUAUAUGAUGUAAUAACAAGUGAGACAUGUUGGCAUGUUGCUGCUGUUUUUCCAACCUGCAACUCAAUAUUCUCCCUAUUUUAGUCCAUAUUUGUGUUUAUUUUGCAAUUUCUUUUUCAUUUAUUUUUUGUUUUUUGAGCAGAAUUAAUUAGUAUUAAUAUUAUGUAUUUUGUAACCUUUGUUUACCAGAUGAUCCACCAUCCAUGACAAUUAAAUAAAAUCUCUCCCUUUUUUUCCCA